RNAcentral lists this ribosomal RNA (508 nucleotides) under uncultured bacterium. RNAcentral's name for it is "partial 16S ribosomal RNA". It matches the Rfam family "Bacterial small subunit ribosomal RNA", at positions 28 to 507 of the family's 1533-position model. The record is from RNAcentral.
GACGAACGCUGGCGGCGUGCCUAAUACAUGCAAGUCGAACGCUUCUUUCCUCCCGAGUGCUUGCACUCAAUUGGAAAGAGGAGUGGCGGACGGGUGAGUAACACGUGGGUAACCUACCCCUCAGAGGGGGAUAACACUUGGAAACAGGCGCUAAUACCCCACAACAGUUUAUGCCGCAUGGCAUAAGAGCGCACGGCGCUUUCGGGUCCCGUUGAUGGCUGGACCCGCGGUGCAUUAGCUAGCUGGUGGGGUAACGGCUCACCAGGGCCACGAGGCGUAGCCGACGUGAGAGGGUGAUCGGCCGCACUGGAACUGAGACGCGGCCCAGGCUCCUACGGGAGGCAGCAGUAGGGAAUCGUCGGCAGUGGACGGAAGUCUGACCGAGCGACGCCGCGUGAGUGAAGAAGGUGUUCGGUGCGUAAAGCUCUGUUGUGGGGGAGGAACAGGGGCGUUAGUAGCUGAACGGCCCGUGACGGUAACUGGCCAGGAAGCCACGGCUAACUACGUG